AGAGUAUGAUCCUGGCUCAGAACGUACGCUGGCGGCACGCCUAACACAUGCAAGUCGAACGCAGUAGCAAUACUGAGUGGCAAACGGGUGAGUAUAAUGUGGGAAUCUGCCUUUUGGUUUGGAAUAACACGGGGAAACUUGUGCUAAUACCGAAUAAGCCUUCACAGGGAAAGUUUUAAUGCCAAAAGAUGAGCCCGCACUUGAUUAGCUAGUUGGUAAGGUAAAAGCUUACUAAGGCAACGAUCAAUAGCUGUUCUUAGAGGAAGACCAGCCACAUUGGGACUGAGACACGGCCCAGACUCCUACGGGAGGCAGCAGUGGGGAAUCUUGCACAAUGGGGGAAACCCUGAUGCAGCGAUGCCGCGUGAGUGAAGAAGGCCUUUGGGUUGUAAAACUCUUUCGUCGGGGAAGAAAAUGACUGUACCCGAAUAAGAAGGUCCGGCUAACUUCGUGCCAGCAGCCGCGGUAAUACGAAGGGACCUAGCGUAGUUCGGAAUUACUGGGCUUAAAGAGCUCGUAGGUGGUUAAAAAAGUUGAUGGUGAAAUCCCAAGGCUCAACCUUGGAACUGCUAUCAAAACUUUUUAGCUAGAGUGUGAUAG
RNAcentral lists this ribosomal RNA (600 nucleotides) under uncultured marine bacterium. RNAcentral's name for it is "bacterial SSU rRNA". It matches the Rfam family "Bacterial small subunit ribosomal RNA", at positions 8 to 654 of the family's 1533-position model. The record is from RNAcentral.